RNAcentral lists this long non-coding RNA (668 nucleotides) under Mytilus galloprovincialis (Mediterranean mussel). Lineage: Eukaryota; Metazoa; Mollusca; Bivalvia; Mytilida; Mytilidae. The record is from RNAcentral.
GUUUUAAUACAAAUAUUUUAGCGUAACGGUAGUCGGCCAUCAGUGUAAAAAAAUCACGUCGCACCCGGCUCUCAAGAUUUGAUUUUGUUGUGAAAUAGUCUUUACUUAUAAUAUUAUCGUCUAUUGUGCGAUUGUAAACUUGUUUUGCUGUUUAUUCAUUUAUUUUGCGAUCGUUGUUUGUCUUUUGUCGUUUUCUAUUUAUUGCCGUAGCAUUGUCCGUUCAUUUUUGACAGUCAUGUGCGUUUGACUUUAAAUAAUCCUUCUGAUAUCCUUACUUUUUAUUUUAUAAUAUCUGUUUUAUAACAUUUUCGUUCAUAACUGGUUUUAAAAACCAGCAGCUUUUGUUUAAAAUAGAGUUUUAAUAUUAUUGCAGAAGAAUAAGAAGAUGACAAUGAAUUCAUUCAAAUUAUAAUUUACAAGUCUUUAAAUUUAUUUCAAGUACACCCUUGUACAUUUUUCUAUCGCGCAGAAUAAUUUGUACUUGAAAUAAAUUUAAAGAUUAUGACUCAGUUACCAAUAUUGUACAGCAUAAUAAAACAGCUUUAAUUCGAAUUUCACCAAGAAGGACAUUUCCGAUGAUUAAAAAAAUAAUUAGCAAAAUCUGUCAAGUUUCAUUAAAAACGGAAAACAAUUCUUCACCGUAAACGAUUUACCCUCUUUAAUUUUUU